AAAUUGAAGAGUUUGAUCAUGGCUCAGAUUGAACGCUGGCGGCAGGCCUAACACAUGCAAGUCGAACGGUAACAGGAAUCAGCUUGCUGAUUCGCUGACGAGUGGCGGACGGGUGAGUAAUGUCUGGGAAACUGCCUGAUGGAGGGGGAUAACUACUGGAAACGGUAGCUAAUACCGCAUAAUGUCGCAAGACCAAAGAGGGGGACCUUCGGGCCUCUUGCCAUCGGAUGUGCCCAGAUGGGAUUAGCUAGUAGGUGGGGUAACGGCUCACCUAGGCGACGAUCCCUAGCUGGUCUGAGAGGAUGACCAGCCACACUGGAACUGAGACACGGUCCAGACUCCUACGGGAGGCAGCAGUGGGGAAUAUUGCACAAUGGGCGCAAGCCUGAUGCAGCCAUGCCGCGUGUAUGAAGAAGGCCUUCGGGUUGUAAAGUACUUUCAGCGGGGAGGAAGGGAGUAAAGUUAAUACCUUUGCUCAUUGACGUUACCCGCAGAAGAAGCACCGGCUAACUCCGUGCCAGCAGCCGCGGUAAUACGGAGGGUGCAAGCGUUAAUCGGAAUUACUGGGCGUAAAGCGCACGCAGGCGGUUUGUUAAGUCAGAUGUGAAAUCCCCGGGCUCAACCUGGGAACUGCAUCUGAUACUGGCAAGCUUGAGUCUCGUAGAGGGGGGUAGAAUUCCAGGUGUAGCGGUGAAAUGCGUAGAGAUCUGGAGGAAUACCGGUGGCGAAGGCGGCCCCCUGGACGAAGACUGACGCUCAGGUGCGAAAGCGUGGGGAGCAAACAGGAUUAGAUACCCUGGUAGUCCACGCCGUAAACGAUGUCGACUUGGAGGUUGUGCCCUUGAGGCGUGGCUUCCGGAGCUAACGCGUUAAGUCGACCGCCUGGGGAGUACGGCCGCAAGGUUAAAACUCAAAUGAAUUGACGGGGGCCCGCACAAGCGGUGGAGCAUGUGGUUUAAUUCGAUGCAACGCGAAGAACCUUACCUGGUCUUGACAUCCACGGAAGUUUUCAGAGAUGAGAAUGUGCCUUCGGGAACCGUGAGACAGGUGCUGCAUGGCUGUCGUCAGCUCGUGUUGUGAAAUGUUGGGUUAAGUCCCGCAACGAGCGCAACCCUUAUCCUUUGUUGCCAGCGGUCCGGCCGGGAACUCAAAGGAGACUGCCAGUGAUAAACUGGAGGAAGGUGGGGAUGACGUCAAGUCAUCAUGGCCCUUACGACCAGGGCUACACACGUGCUACAAUGGCGCAUACAAAGAGAAGCGACCUCGCGAGAGCAAGCGGACCUCAUAAAGUGCGUCGUAGUCCGGAUUGGAGUCUGCAACUCGACUCCAUGAAGUCGGAAUCGCUAGUAAUCGUGGAUCAGAAUGCCACGGUGAAUACGUUCCCGGGCCUUGUACACACCGCCCGUCACACCAUGGGAGUGGGUUGCAAAAGAAGUAGGUAGCUUAACCUUCGGGAGGGCGCUUACCACUUUGUGAUUCAUGACUGGGGUGAAGUCGUAACAAGGUAACCGUAGGGGAACCUGCGGUUGGAUCAC
RNAcentral lists this ribosomal RNA (1535 nucleotides) under Escherichia coli. RNAcentral describes it as "bacterial SSU rRNA". It matches the Rfam family "Bacterial small subunit ribosomal RNA". Lineage: Bacteria; Pseudomonadati; Pseudomonadota; Gammaproteobacteria; Enterobacterales; Enterobacteriaceae. The record is from RNAcentral.